This 2897-nucleotide ribosomal RNA is filed under the name Shigella sonnei. Its description in RNAcentral is "bacterial LSU rRNA". It matches the Rfam family "Bacterial large subunit ribosomal RNA". Lineage: Bacteria; Pseudomonadati; Pseudomonadota; Gammaproteobacteria; Enterobacterales; Enterobacteriaceae. The record is from RNAcentral.
UUAAGCGACUAAGCGUACACGGUGGAUGCCCUGGCAGUCAGAGGCGAUGAAGGACGUGCUAAUCUGCGAUAAGCGUCGGUAAGGUGAUAUGAACCGUUAUAACCGGCGAUUUCCGAAUGGGGAAACCCAGUGUGNCACACUAUCAUUAACUGAAUCCAUAGGUUAAUGAGGCGAACCGGGGGAACUGAAACAUCUAAGUACCCCGAGGAAAAGAAAUCAACCGAGAUUCCCCCAGUAGCGGCGAGCGAACGGGGAGCAGCCCAGAGCCUGAAUCAGUGUGUGUGUUAGUGGAAGCGUCUGGAAAGGCGCGCGAUACAGGGUGACAGCCCCGUACACAAAAAUACACAUAUUGUGAGCUCGAUGAGUAGGGCGGGACACGUGGUAUCCUGUCUGAAUAUGGGGGGACCAUCCUCCAAGGCUAAAUACUCCUGACUGACCGAUAGUGAACCAGUACCGUGAGGGAAAGGCGAAAAGAACCCCGGCGAGGGGAGUGAAAAAGAACCUGAAACCGUGUACGUACAAGCAGUGGGAGCACGCUUAGGCGUGUGACUGCGUACCUUUUGUAUAAUGGGUCAGCGACUUAUAUUCUGUAGCAAGGUUAACCGAAUAGGGGAGCCGAAGGGAAACCGAGUCUUAACUGGGCGUUAAGUUGCAGGGUAUAGACCCGAAACCCGGUGAUCUAGCCAUGGGCAGGUUGAAGGUUGGGUAACACUAACUGGAGGACCGAACCGACUAAUGUUGAAAAAUUAGCGGAUGACUUGUGGCUGGGGGUGAAAGGCCAAUCAAACCGGGAGAUAGCUGGUUCUCCCCGAAAGCUAUUUAGGUAGCGCCUCGUGAAUUCAUCUCCGGGGGUAGAGCACUGUUUCGGCAAGGGGGUCAUCCCGACUUACCAACCCGAUGCAAACUGCGAAUACCGGAGAAUGUUAUCACGGGAGACACACGGCGGGUGCUAACGUCCGUCGUGAAGAGGGAAACAACCCAGACCGCCAGCUAAGGUCCCAAAGUCAUGGUUAAGUGGGAAACGAUGUGGGAAGGCCCAGACAGCCAGGAUGUUGGCUUAGAAGCAGCCAUCAUUUAAAGAAAGCGUAAUAGCUCACUGGUCGAGUCGGCCUGCGCGGAAGAUGUAACGGGGCUAAACCAUGCACCGAAGCUGCGGCAGCGACGCUUAUGCGUUGUUGGGUAGGGGAGCGUUCUGUAAGCCUGCGAAGGUGUGCUGUGAGGCAUGCUGGAGGUAUCAGAAGUGCGAAUGCUGACAUAAGUAACGAUAAAGCGGGUGAAAAGCCCGCUCGCCGGAAGACCAAGGGUUCCUGUCCAACGUUAAUCGGGGCAGGGUGAGUCGACCCCUAAGGCGAGGCCGAAAGGCGUAGUCGAUGGGAAACAGGUUAAUAUUCCUGUACUUGGUGUUACUGCGAAGGGGGGACGGAGAAGGCUAUGUUGGCCGGGCGACGGUUGUCCCGGUUUAAGCGUGUAGGCUGGUUUUCCAGGCAAAUCCGGAAAAUCAAGGCUGAGGCGUGAUGACGAGGCACUACGGUGCUGAAGCAACAAAUGCCCUGCUUCCAGGAAAAGCCUCUAAGCAUCAGGUAACAUCAAAUCGUACCCCAAACCGACACAGGUGGUCAGGUAGAGAAUACCAAGGCGCUUGAGAGAACUCGGGUGAAGGAACUAGGCAAAAUGGUGCCGUAACUUCGGGAGAAGGCACGCUGAUAUGUAGGUGAAGUCCCUUGCGGAUGGAGCUGAAAUCAGUCGAAGAUACCAGCUGGCUGCAACUGUUUAUUAAAAACACAGCACUGUGCAAACACGAAAGUGGACGUAUACGGUGUGACGCCUGCCCGGUGCCGGAAGGUUAAUUGAUGGGGUCAGCGCAAGCGAAGCUCUUGAUCGAAGCCCCGGUAAACGGCGGCCGUAACUAUAACGGUCCUAAGGUAGCGAAAUUCCUUGUCGGGUAAGUUCCGACCUGCACGAAUGGCGUAAUGAUGGCCAGGCUGUCUCCACCCGAGACUCAGUGAAAUUGAACUCGCUGUGAAGAUGCAGUGUACCCGCGGCAAGACGGAAAGACCCCGUGAACCUUUACUAUAGCUUGACACUGAACAUUGAGCCUUGAUGUGUAGGAUAGGUGGGAGGCUUUGAAGUGUGGACGCCAGUCUGCAUGGAGCCGGCCUUGAAAUACCACCCUUUAAUGUUUGAUGUUCUAACGUGGACCCGUGAUCCGGGUUGCGGACAGUGUCUGGUGGGUAGUUUGACUGGGGCGGUCUCCUCCUAAAGAGUAACGGAGGAGCACGAAGGUUGGCUAAUCCUGGUCGGACAUCAGGAGGUUAGUGCAAUGGCAUAAGCCAGCUUGACUGCGAGCGUGACGGCGCGAGCAGGUGCGAAAGCAGGUCAUAGUGAUCCGGUGGUUCUGAAUGGAAGGGCCAUCGCUCAACGGAUAAAAGGUACUCCGGGGAUAACAGGCUGAUACCGCCCAAGAGUUCAUAUCGACGGCGGUGUUUGGCACCUCGAUGUCGGCUCAUCACAUCCUGGGGCUGAAGUAGGUCCCAAGGGUAUGGCUGUUCGCCAUUUAAAGUGGUACGCGAGCUGGGUUUAGAACGUCGUGAGACAGUUCGGUCCCUAUCUGCCGUGGGCGCUGGAGAACUGAGGGGGGCUGCUCCUAGUACGAGAGGACCGGAGUGGACGCAUCACUGGUGUUCGGGUUGUCAUGCCAAUGGCACUGCCCGGUAGCUAAAUGCGGAAGAGAUAAGUGCUGAAAGCAUCUAAGCACGAAACUUGCCCCGAGAUGAGUUCUCCCUGACCCUUUAAGGGUCCUGAAGGAACGUUGAAGACGACGACGUUGAUAGGCCGGGUGUGUAAGCGCAGCGAUGCGUUGAGCUAACCGGUACUAAUGAACCGUGAGGCUUAACCUU